CCUACGGGGGGCAGCAGUGGGGGAUAUUGCACAAUGGGGGAAACCCUGAUGCAGCGACGCCGCGUGUGGGAAGACGGUCCUCUGGAUUGUAAACCACUGUCCCCAGGGACGAAGAUGACGGUACCUGGGGAGGAAGCUCCGGCUAACUACGAGCCAGCAGCCGCGGUAAUACGUAGGGAGCAAGCGGUGUCCGGAAUUACUGGGUGUAAAGGGAGCGUAGGCGGGAUGGCAAGUUGGGUGUUAAAUCUACCGGCUCAACUGGUAGUCGCACUCAAAACUGCUAUUCUUGAGUGAAGUAGAGGCAGGCGGAAUGCGUAGUGUAGCGGUGAAAUGCGUAGAUAUUAGGAGGAACACCAGUGGCGAAGGCGGCCUGCUGGGCUUUUACUGACGCUGAGGCUCGAAAGUGUGGGGAGCGAACAGGAUUAGAUACCCCAGUAGUC
RNAcentral lists this ribosomal RNA (440 nucleotides) under uncultured bacterium. RNAcentral's name for it is "partial 16S ribosomal RNA". It matches the Rfam family "Bacterial small subunit ribosomal RNA", at positions 338 to 795 of the family's 1533-position model. The record is from RNAcentral.